RNAcentral lists this ribosomal RNA (474 nucleotides) under Microfragum festivum. RNAcentral's name for it is "partial 16S ribosomal RNA". It matches the Rfam family "Bacterial large subunit ribosomal RNA", at positions 1807 to 2595 of the family's 2925-position model. The record is from RNAcentral. Lineage: Eukaryota; Metazoa; Mollusca; Bivalvia; Cardiida; Cardiidae.
UCAAAAACAUCUCUUCUCGACUGAUACCUGAAUGGGAAGUAGGCCCUGCCCGGUGACCUAGCGGUUAAACGGCGGUUAGGUCCUUAAAGUAGCAUAAUCAAUUGGCCUUUAAUUGGGGUCUGGUAUGAAUGGGUUGACGUCGGAGCAACUUUCUUAUGGAGGUAGAUGAAAUUUAUAUUCUAGUGAAAAAGCUGGGUUAUUUUUAAAAGACGAGAAGACCCUGUCGAGCUUGUUAACUUUACUUGGAAGCUCGAACAAAGUAGAUUUGUUGGGGAAACAACGGAGAAAGGAAACCUCCGUCAUUUCUGAUGUAGGUCCCACCUUGUGGAAGAGAGAAAUAGCUACCGCAGGGAUAACAGCGCGAGACCACCCGGAAGGUCGUAUUUAAGGUGGUAUUUGCGACCUCGAUGUUGGAUUAAGCUAUCUAUCAGGCGCAGCCGCUUGAUUAGAGGGUACUGUUCGACCGUUAAACAC